Molecule: long non-coding RNA, 502 nt
Filed under: Salmo salar (Atlantic salmon)
Lineage: Eukaryota; Metazoa; Chordata; Actinopteri; Salmoniformes; Salmonidae
Description: lncRNA (ENSSSAG00000104477.1)
Source: RNAcentral
UCCCCCUGACCCUUCUGUUGCUAGGUCAAAUACAUGUCCCCCUGACCCUUCUGUUGCUAGGUCAAAUACAUGUCCCCCUGACCCUUCUGUUGGACAUACUGUUGCUAGGUCAAAUACAUGUCCCCCUGACCCUUCUGUUGGACAUACUGUUGCUAGGUCAAAUACAUGUCCCCCGGACCCUUCUGUUGGACAUACUGUUGCUAGGUAAAAUACAUGUCCCCCUGACCCUUCUGUUGCUAGGUCAAAUACAUGUCCCCCUGACCCUUCUGUUGCUAGGUCAAAUACAUGUCCCCCGGACCCUUCUGUUGCUAGGUCAAAUACAUGUCCCCCUGACCCUUCUGUUGCUAGGUCAAAUACAUGUCCCCCUGACCCUUCUGUUGCUAGGUCAAAUACAUGUCCCCCUGACCCUUCUGUUGGACAUACUGUUGCUAGGUCAAAUACAUGUCCCCCUGACCCUUCUGUUGCUAGGUCAAAUACAUGUCCCCCUGACCCUUCUGUUGCU